RNAcentral lists this transfer RNA (73 nucleotides) under Myotis davidii. It matches the Rfam family "tRNA". Rfam says of the family: Transfer RNA (tRNA) molecules are approximately 80 nucleotides in length. The record is from Rfam by way of RNAcentral. Lineage: Eukaryota; Metazoa; Chordata; Mammalia; Chiroptera; Vespertilionidae.
GCUUCUUUGGCUCAGUUGAUAGAGCGUUGGGCUGUGGACCAAAGGGUCCUGGGUUCGAUUCCUGGUCAGGGCA